Molecule: long non-coding RNA, 1221 nt
Organism: Chenopodium quinoa (quinoa)
Lineage: Eukaryota; Viridiplantae; Streptophyta; Magnoliopsida; Caryophyllales; Amaranthaceae
Exons: 8
Source: RefSeq, a predicted model, not a curated record
UUGAAGCGGAUUCUGAGCUUAAUCACCUCCAUUGAAGCAGCUUCAAGGUAAGGUUUUUCUUGCGGUCUUCUUAAUCUAUCGAAUUCCUUCGCAAUCUAGGGUUUGUCGUUGAUUUGCUUUUCAAUUUAGUAAUUUUAGGGUUGUGGUAAUAUAGGGUUUGUCUGAAUUUACAAAUCUUGAUUCAACCCCAAAUUCUGACAAACCUGCAACGCUUCCGACCAAGACACCGUCACCUUUAACGGCUUCCGGUACCGGCGCUUGAAAUUUUUUUCUUUUCUUUUCUGUUAAAGCUUACAAAACCCUAAUAUAAAUCUCUCUUUCGCUCAAUUUUUUCCCCAAUUACAAGGCUUUAAUUUGAGAACAAUUGUGAAGUGGGUGUGUUCUCUAAGUUGACUAAUGCAUAUUGUUUGGUCGUAAUCAGCGGGUCUGAGAACUUUUACAGUACAUUUGAAUCCGAGUUGGCGGAUUAUAUUCCCGUUGUAAAGACCUCAUGGCAGGAAACAAAAACGGGCUUCUUGUGCCUCACUCAACUAUUGACCAGGGUUGAAGGACUAGCUGAAAUUUUUGGCAAAACCAGAUUCUGAAACCCAGGGAUCCCCUGAAAGAUCAGCGAUUGACUCAUCUGAGAGUGAUGAAACUGUUCUUGUCAUGAAGGGCCCUAAUGGAAGAAUUAAUAGAGCUUUUUUGGGGGCCUCUGAACAAGACUAUUAUCAGUUGUGGUGAGGAUGCUAUCAUUCGCGUCUGGGAUCCUGUGACAGGUCAAGAGAUAAUGUCAACACAGGACCAUGAAAAUGGUCACAAGAAACCAAUAACAUCACUUUGUCUAUCUGCUGACAAAUUACAUUUCCUCACUGGCUCGCUGGAUAAGUCAGCUAAGAACUUUAACUCUGAUUAAAACCUAUGGUACGGAGCGACCUGUCAAUGCUGUUACUAUGUCUCCUCUUCUGGAUCACGAAAUUGAAGGAAGAGCAGAAACAUUACAUAGAGAAACUCAGCUGCAGCAUAGUUGUGAUGAAAGGUUCUCCCGAAAGUCCUCAGACUUAAUUUGGGAUACUCAGAUGAACCUUAGACCCCUUACUUUUCCGCUGCCUCUUCCCAGCCUUACAUAGUGGCCGAAUGCAAAGUUUUAGGAUGAAGCAUGCUACUCCUAUUAGCAGCCCUGAAUUUAUAUGUUUUUUUUUUUUUUAUUUUUUUUUUAAUUUUUUUUUUUUUCAGUUUUUU